Rhinichthys klamathensis goyatoka is the source of this 1146-nucleotide long non-coding RNA. RefSeq lists it as uncharacterized. The transcript has 2 exons. The record is from RefSeq and is a predicted model, not a curated record. Lineage: Eukaryota; Metazoa; Chordata; Actinopteri; Cypriniformes; Leuciscidae.
CAGUAGUCUGAGCAGAGAUGCCCAGACUUCCCUCUCCCUGGACACUUCCUCCAGCUCUUCCGGGGGGACACCGAGGCGUUCCCAGGCCAGCCGGGAGACAUAGUCUCUCCAGCGUGUCCUAGGUCUUCCCCGGGGUCUCCUCCCAGUGGGACGUGCCCGGAACACCUCCCCGGGAAGGCGUCCAGGAGGCAUCCGGAACAGAUGCCCGAGCCACCUCAGCUGACCCUUCUCGAUGUGGAGGAGCAGCGGCUCUACUCUGAGCUCCUCCCGAGUGACCGAGCUUCUCACCCUAUCUCUAAGGGAUCGCCCAGCCACCCUGCGGAGAAAGCUCAUUUCGGCCGCCUGUAUCCGGGAUCUUGUCCUUUCGGUCAUGACCCAAAGCUCAUGACCAUAGGUGAGAGUAGGAACGUAGAUUGACCGGUAAAUCGAGAGCUUUGCCUUAUGGCUCAGCUCCUUCUUCACCACAUCGACCGAAUUACUGCAGAAGCUGCACCGAUCCGUCUGUCAAUCUCCCGUUCCAUCCUUCCCUCACUCGUGAACAAAACCCCAAGAUACUUAAACUCCUCCACUUGAGGAAGGAUCUCUCCACCAACCUGAAGUGAGCAAGCCACCCUUUUCCGACUGAGGACCAUGGCCUCGGAUUUGGAGGUGCUGAUUUUCAUCCCAGCCGCUUCACACUCGGCUGCAAACCGUCCCAGUGCAUGCUGAAGGUCCUGGUGUGAAGGGGCCAACACGACAACAUCAUCCGCAAAAAGCAGCGACGCAAUCGCGUUGUCCCCAAACCUGACACCCUCCGGCCCCUGGCUGCGCCUAGAAAUUCUGUCCAUAAAAACUAUGAACAGAACCGGCGACAAAGGGCAGCCCUGCCGGAGUCCAACAUGCACCGGGAAGAACUCCUGCUUCGGUCAUACAGGGACCGGACAGCCCUUAGCAAAGGACCCCGGACCCCAUACUCCCGGAGCACCCUCCACAGGCCGCCGCGAGGGACACAGUCGAAUGCCUUCUCCAAAUCCACAAAGCACAUGUGGACUGGUUGGGCAAACUCCCAUGAACCCUCCAGCACCCUGUAGAGAGUAUAGAGCUGGUCCAGUGUUCCACGGCCCGGACGAAAACCGCACUGUUCCUCCUGAAUCCGAGGUUCCACUA